UGCCUCAGUAUUGACAGUUAGUAAUUUGGCA
Molecule: non-coding RNA, 31 nt
Filed under: Mus musculus (house mouse)
Lineage: Eukaryota; Metazoa; Chordata; Mammalia; Rodentia; Muridae
Source: RNAcentral